AUAAUUGAAGCGCAGAGGAAGACAUGGUUUACAAACUAAAGAAACCAAUUUAUGAAUUGAAACAAACCUUGAGAAAUGGUAUUUAAAAUUUGAUGAAACCAUUAGGAAAUUCGGUUUCAAAGAGAAUAUUUGGAGAUCCAUGUAUAUACUUCAAGGUCAGUGGGAGUAAGUUCAUAUUUUUGGUUAUGUAUGUUUAUGUAUAUUUUAUUUCCCAUCAAUGAUCUUGGUCUAUUAAAUGAGACCGAAAAUUAUCUCUCUUAAGACUUUGCAAUGAAAGAUAUGGUCGAUGCAACUUUUGUGAUUGGGAUUGAAUUUUUCCGUGACAUAUCACUUGGAAGUUUAAGGUUGUCUCAUAAUGCAUAUAUUGACAAAGUUCUUGAGAGAUAUGACAUGAUAAUGUGUUAUUCUAGUAUUGUUCCUAUGCAGAAAGGUGAUAAGCUUAAUCUUAAGCAAUGUCCGCAUAAUGAAAUGGAACUUAAAGAAAUGAAAGCUGAAAAUAAAUUUUGAGAUAUCUAAAGAAAAUAAGGAACCAAUUGCUCACAAAUUAGAAAUCAACACACUCACAGGUGGUUGGAUUUUUAAACUCAGAUUUUAAUGGAUAUAAUAGUUUUAAGCAUUACAAUUUUAGCAAUAUGUAUCUCAUCAAAUGAGAUACUUUAUUAUGGAAAGGCUUAUAGUUGUAACUGCUUUAACAUCCAAUAAAGAGGCUGAGUGUGUGGUAAGUUUAUGAGUCUUUUAUAAAGUUAAUUAUGAUUGCAAAAUUAUCUUUGAGUUUGAGACCGUAAGUGUUCGACUCUUUAUGUGAUAGUAAAAUAUGCAAUCAUAUUUUUUUUAAGACAUGAUAUCUAAAGGAUCCAAGUAUAUGAACAUUAAGAUUGAUAUAUGUCAUUAAAGUAAGAUUUCAAAAGAGAAAAAUUUGUCAUUAUGCAUAUAUGCACUAAACUUAUGGUCACAUACAUGUUUACGAAAGCUUUAUAUCCAAAGAUAUUAAAGAAAAUCUAGAAAUUAUGGAUCUAAUGGAUAGCUAUCAAAGUUGUCUGAUUAUGUUUAGCAUAUAUUUGACAAUAUAUGAGCUCUUAAUGACUUUUGAAUCUUUUAUAUUCUGGUUCCAAAGUGUGUACACAUUAUCAUUGUGGGAUUAAUGAUUACAGAAUAAGUCUUUAAACAAGACAUAAAAGGGACCCUAAUGAUAACUCCUACUUAUGGUCUAACUUUGAUAGUAAUCAGUGUAGUAGUGCAUGGAAGGAAUCGUGUUGCAGAUUAAUAUGUGCCCGCCAUGACUCUCAUUGAUUAUUAGAUUAGCUAAGACAAUUAUGAUGACCAGAUAAAAGCAAGAUUUAACAAAUAAUGCCGGUCUUAUGAUUCUCGAUACUUAAGUUAAUAAGUUAUACCAACGACCAAGUGGGAGAAUGUUAGAAAUAUUCUCAUUAGGAAGAGAAUGUUUCUAUACCAUUAUGUGGUCUUUAGGUAAACUUAAUUAUAUUGAGAUUGUUAAAUCCUAAUGAUACUUGGUAACCAAUAAAAUGGUAACUAAAGGAGUUUAGUUUCUAAUGAUGAUGAUUAAGUAAUGGACAAGUAAUUGAUUCUAGAAGGUUUCUCACUUGAUGACUCAUGAAACAUGUGUCAUUGUAGGAAAGCAUAUGAAAUAAGUUCAAUGCAUCAAAGGAGAACACAUUCAUUGUAUAAAUGAAUGAUUCUAGAACACUAAACACUUGUCAUUACUCAACCAUGAUGGAUGGUUGAGAUUAAAGAAAAAACUUGCCAAGAAAGUCAUCAAGACUUGGUGAGAAAGUUUUUGGUCCCUCUCCCCACCUAUAUAUAGUAAUCUUUGGACCAUCACAAAGACACAUCAAGAAAAUCUAAAGAGAAACACAUAAAGAAAGGUUGUAGACAAGGGGAGAGAAGAUCUAACUCCAACUAAAAGAUCAAGAGAUCAUCUUGGGGAGAGAAGGGUUAACUCCAACUUAAAGUUCAUGAAAUAAUCUUCCAUGAUCAUAACCGUUCAAGAAGAUUUCCGCACUCAUGAAUCGAGCUAUAACCAUCUUCCAUGUAUCCACCAACUUCUUCGGUUAAAUUGGUCAUUGCACGCCAGUUGGAAAAAUAGAAAGGUGGCAAAGCUCCAGUGAAAUGAUUAUGCGAUAUACAAAUGAUUUUUAAACUUUGAAACCAAUUGACACAUGAGGAUGAUAUAACGGCCCGUAGAAUUCAUUUGACCGGAGAAUCAUGACUUGUAACGACGGCAAAGAACUCAACCAAGACGGAACUUGUCUAUGAUUUUGUUGCUUUCAACAUUCACGAACUUCAAAGAAUUGCAGUUAGUCAAUGAUUGUGGAAGCUUUCCCUCCAACUGGUUGCCACUGAUGUCAACUAACUCCAAGUUGUAGUAGCAGCAUUGACAAAUAAAUUUGGAAAAAGAAUUCCACACAGAUUUGGUAAA
This is a long non-coding RNA of Brassica napus (rape), 2437 nucleotides long. RefSeq lists it as uncharacterized. The record is from RefSeq and is a predicted model, not a curated record. The transcript is spliced from 2 exons. NCBI's taxonomy places the organism in Eukaryota, Viridiplantae, Streptophyta, Magnoliopsida, Brassicales, Brassicaceae.